This is a long non-coding RNA of Macadamia integrifolia, 1083 nucleotides long. RefSeq lists it as uncharacterized. Lineage: Eukaryota; Viridiplantae; Streptophyta; Magnoliopsida; Proteales; Proteaceae. The record is from RefSeq and is a predicted model, not a curated record. The transcript has 2 exons.
ACAGGUUCUCCGCUGCCGUGGCAACUAAACCCAUGACCGCCGGCUAGAGCUUCCACCAUCCACCCGUUCCACCGGUCCUAGAUAGGCCUUCCAUAUGUCCUUUGAGCUCCCAGGUUGAGAGUUCCUAUCAGAGUUUAUUGACACGUGGCUGUAAACAAGUGUCGGUCACGUUAACCAUAUAUUGCGAGGCCUGAAUUCCUUACCUUUCACCUCAGUUCCCGACUUGUACAUAUAUAUAUAGCAUAAACCUCUCUCUUCCGCUACUCCAUUUUCAUUUGGAAACCGAAACUGGAUCCUUUCUAACCCUCCUAAGCCCACAAACCCUAACCAUACUUUUCUGUGAUCUCUGUUCUGCAUUCCGAGAUUGCGAUGGAUAACGAAGAUGUUCCAAUGUUUAGAGAGACGACAACGAGGAUGAGGAGCAUCCAGCCGAAGGGGUUUCCCUCGAAACAAGCAGGGGACGAUCGAGGAAGAAAGGGAUCGUCGGAGACUACUCUGUUGAAGUCACCCAAAUCAGGUGAGAAAGUGGAGAGCUGGACGACUUUUGGAGUAAUUCAUCAUCAAAUUUUGAAGAUCAGAGAAGAAGAUUCGCACUUGGGUGAGGAUUUCGGAGAGGGAUUGAGUACGAAAGAGAAGCUCGCCGUUUUCCAUCUCGCUUCCCAAAUGGACAGUUUUAUUCUCUCAAGGCCGAUCUUGCCUUGUUCUCCUCUCAGCGGCAAGACUGCAAUUAAAACCUAAGAUGAUAUGUAGAGAUCAGAGGCGAAAGGGGAGAGAGUGAGAAGGCGGACCAAAUAAUGAUACACGUGGGCGCUGUUGAUACCUGUUGUGGGGUUAAAGUUGCUUCCCUUCUUCCUUUCCUCUCCUUCUUCUUCUUCUUCAAUGGUGAAUGGUGAGAGUCGAAAGUUUGUGUCCAGAUUGUAGUGACUGAGUCUAGCUGGAAAGUUUAGGGACUGCACAGCAGACUGGUCUGACUUGUUUUUAUUUUUUGCUCUUUUGCUGUGUCACUGUGUAUUUCAUCAUAAAAUCUUCCACCACGUGGACAGAUGGCAUGUUGCUUAACGGAUUCUUCAUUUUGGUGCAACA